This 22-nucleotide microRNA is filed under the name Haemonchus contortus (barber pole worm). RNAcentral describes it as "hco-miR-5918c". The record is from miRBase by way of RNAcentral. Lineage: Eukaryota; Metazoa; Nematoda; Chromadorea; Rhabditida; Trichostrongylidae.
UAAUACGAUUAUGAGGCAAGCU